GAUGAACGCUAGCUACAGGCUUAACACAUGCAAGUCGAGGGGCAUCGGGAAGAAAGCUUGCUUUCUUUGCUGGCGACCGGCGCACGGGUGAGUAACACGUAUCCAACCUGCCCUUUACUCGGGGAUAGCCUUUCGAAAGAAAGAUUAAUACCCGAUAGCAUAAUGAUUCCGCAUGGUUUCAUUAUUAAAGGAUUCCGGUAAAGGAUGGGGAUGCGUUCCAUUAGGUUGUUGGUGAGGUAACGGCCCACCAAGCCUUCGAUGGAUAGGGGUUCUGAGAGGAAGGUCCCCCACAUUGGAACUGAGACACGGUCCAAACUCCUACGGGAGGCAGCAGUGAGGAAUAUUGGUCAAUGGGCGCUAGCCUGAACCAGCCAAGUAGCGUGAAGGAUGAAGGCUCUAUGGGUCGUAAACUUCUUUUAUAUAAGAAUAAAGUGCAGUAUGUAUACUGUUUUGUAUGUAUUAUAUGAAUAAGGAUCGGCUAACUCCGUGCCAGCAGCCGCGGUAAUACGGAGGAUCCGAGCGUUAUCCGGAUUUAUUGGGUUUAAAGGGAGCGUAGGUGGACUGGUAAGUCAGUUGUGAAAGUUUGCGGCUCAACCGUAAAAUUGCAGUUGAUACUGUCAGUCUUGAGUACAGUAGAGGUGGGCGGAAUUCGUGGUGUAGCGGUGAAAUGCUUAGAUAUCACGAAGAACUCCGAUUGC
Molecule: ribosomal RNA, 698 nt
Filed under: uncultured Bacteroidales bacterium
Lineage: Bacteria; Pseudomonadati; Bacteroidota; Bacteroidia; Bacteroidales
Description: bacterial SSU rRNA
Rfam family: Bacterial small subunit ribosomal RNA
Source: RNAcentral